GGGGAAUAUUGGGCAAUGGGCGCAAGCCUGACCCAGCAACGCCGCGUGGAGGAAGAAGGUUUUCGGAUUGUAAACUUCUGUCCUCAAGGACGAAAAAAAUGACGGUACUUGGGGAGGAAGCCCCGGCUAACUACGUGCCAGCAGCCGCGGUAAUACGUAGGGGGCAAGCGUUGUCCGGAAUUACUGGGCGUAAAGGGAGCGUAGGCGGUCUUUUAAGUUAGAUGUGAAAAACCCGGGCUUAACUUGGGAGGUGCAUCUAAAACUGGGGGACUUGAGUGCAGGAGAGGAAAGUGGAAUUCCUAGUGUAGCGGUGAAAUGCGUAGAUAUUAGGAGGAACACCAGUGGCGAAGGCGACUUUCUGGACUGUAACUGACGCUGAGGCUCGAAAGCGUGGGGAGCAAACA
This 404-nucleotide ribosomal RNA is filed under the name uncultured Bacillota bacterium. RNAcentral's name for it is "bacterial SSU rRNA". It matches the Rfam family "Bacterial small subunit ribosomal RNA", at positions 356 to 774 of the family's 1533-position model. The record is from RNAcentral. Lineage: Bacteria; Bacillati; Bacillota.